Aspergillus bombycis is the source of this 180-nucleotide small nucleolar RNA. NCBI's taxonomy places the organism in Eukaryota, Fungi, Ascomycota, Eurotiomycetes, Eurotiales, Aspergillaceae. The record is from Rfam.
ACGUCUCUUGCCUCGCUCGGUCCUCUGCCUCACUUGGUUGAUCUUGAGCUGGAUGCAGCAUGGACUCUCAGAGUUCACCCUGUAUGAGACAAGAAAGAGGCUAACGCCCUCGACGAUCUUUGAGUACGGUUUUAUCUGCAUGCCACAGAUAUGAAUCGUAAUUUAUCCGUCGGGACAGUU